AUCCGCCCCGAAUGGGGUAGUAAGUGGGAACAAAAAAUAUAAAAAAAUAUAACCCGCCCCGAAUCCGCCCCGAUCCGCCAAGUAAAUGGAGCGGGAGGUGGGAGACUCUUUUCUUCCUUAAUCCGUCCCGAUCCGUAAAAAAUCUGGCUCCCUCCACGAUCCGCCCCGAAUGGAGCGGUAAGUGGGAGCCAAAAAUAAAAUGAAAAGUAACCCGCCCCGAUAAGAAAUGAAGCGGGAGGUGGGGGAACUCUCCCGCCCCCGGAUUCGCCCCGUUUGCAUCCCUAGG
Molecule: long non-coding RNA, 286 nt
Filed under: Ananas comosus (pineapple)
Lineage: Eukaryota; Viridiplantae; Streptophyta; Magnoliopsida; Poales; Bromeliaceae
Description: long non-coding RNA (ACOM_LNC040990)
Source: RNAcentral